RNAcentral lists this unclassified non-coding RNA (1494 nucleotides) under Hevea brasiliensis (rubber tree). The record is from RNAcentral. Lineage: Eukaryota; Viridiplantae; Streptophyta; Magnoliopsida; Malpighiales; Euphorbiaceae.
UGUUGAGAAGUGUUUGAGGGAUGCUAAGAUGGAUAAGAGCACCGUACAUGAUGUUGUCCUUGUUGGUGGCUCCACUAGGAUUCCAAAGGUGCAGCAGCUAUUGCAAGAUUUCUUCAAUGGAAAGGAGCUUUGCAAGAGUAUCAACCCAGAUGAAGCCGUUGCUUAUGGUGCUGCUGUCCAGGCUGCCAUCUUGAGCGGUGAAGGCAAUGAGAAGGUGCAGGAUCUACUGCUCUUGGAUGUCACUCCCCUGUCCCUUGGUCUCGAAACUGCUGGUGGGGUCAUGACAGUUUUGAUCCCAAGGAACACUACCAUUCCAACCAAGAAGGAGCAAGUUUUCUCUACCUACUCUGACAAUCAACCUGGUGUGUUGAUCCAGGUUUAUGAGGGUGAGAGGACGAGAACUAGGGACAAUAAUUUACUGGGUAAAUUUGAGCUCUCAGGCAUUCCCCCUGCACCAAGGGGUGUGCCCCAGAUCACUGUGUGCUUUGAUAUUGAUGCCAAUGGUAUCUUAAAUGUUUCUGCUGAGGACAAGACCACUGGCCAGAAGAAUAAGAUUACAAUCACCAAUGACAAGGGAAGGCUGUCUAAGGAAGAGAUUGAGAAAAUGGUACAGGAAGCUGAAAAGUACAAAUCUGAAGAUGAAGAGCAUAAGAAGAAGGUUGAGGCAAAGAAUGCUUUGGAGAAUUAUUCCUACAAUAUGAGGAACACGGUGAAGGAUGAGAAGAUCAGUUCCAAGUUGGCUGCUGCUGACAAGAAGAAGAUCGAGGAUGCCAUCGAUCAGGCCAUUCAGUGGCUAGACAGCAACCAACUUGCAGAGGCAGAUGAAUUUGAGGACAAGAUGAAAGAGCUCGAGAGCAUCUGCAAUCCGAUAAUUGCCAAGAUGUACCAAGGUGCUGGUGCUGACAUGGGUGGUGGCAUGGAUGAUGAUACUCCUCCAGCGGGUGGCAGCGGUGCAGGCCCCAAGAUUGAGGAAGUUGACUAAGGAAUCUAUUUGAUGUUGUAGCAGGGUGAUGAAAAAAAUCAUUUGGCCGAUCUAUUGAUCGGCAUGAUUUUAAUGCUUUAGUUUCUAUUUUUACUUAGUUUGCUAGACAUUAUCAUCUUUUCUGUCAUCCAUUUUUAUUUAAGAUUUUAUGCCAUUAGCGGGACAAAUUUUCUGAUGCUACAUUGGCGGCUUAAUGCUGCAUUAUUUAUAAAACAGUUGCGAGAAUUUAUUCCAACUUAGUUUUGUUUUGUGGUAGAAGUUCAAAUAGAAGAUUAAUAGAUUUUUUUAUGUUUGUUUUAGAUGAAUCGAUGAAAGUGCAGGAAUAGAGAGUAGAGUACUUUAGAAUCAAGGGUUUGGGCUUUAAAUUAAAUAGAACAAAGAUAAAAUAAAUAUAUUGCAAGUUUCAUGAAGGUUAAACUGAUGAAAUGAAAUGGGUUAUUUUUGAUAGAGUGUUAUUGUCUUGAAUGGGUUAUUUUUGGUAGUGUUAUUGUCUUGAAUGGGUUAUUUUUGGU